Termitomyces sp. T159_Od127 is the source of this 97-nucleotide non-coding RNA. Lineage: Eukaryota; Fungi; Basidiomycota; Agaricomycetes; Agaricales; Lyophyllaceae. The record is from the annotation of a GenBank genome assembly.
GGUGAGAUGGCCGAGCGGUCUAAGGCGCCAGACUAAGGUUUCCAUUCAGGCCCAUCUGGUCUCUUCGGGGGCGGGAGUUCGAAUCUCCCUCUCAUCA